GAUUUAAAAUACUUCUAGGCAGGCAAAAGUCGAUGUGGGAUCGGAAGUUUUUACAAUCAGAACGAAAAAGUAUCGUUAAAAUUUGAGCGAUAAACGUUGCACGUCCUAUAUCAUUUUUACGUAAAAAUGAUAUGCAUGCUUGAGCUGUCGACACUGUGUCAACUACAAUAUUGUCCAAAGGACCACAAGCUGUUGAUAUCGCGACGUCAUAUUUUCCAUCUAUGGCUCCAAGGUCACCCUACGUAUAGGUUUUAGCAUUGGACACUUCUAUUUAAUUAAGUUUUAGAGGAUGAUAUACGAGACGGGAGAAAUCUGGUUGAUGUCUGCUUUAUGACAGGCAUCUUUGUUGUUCAGAAAGUUCAAUAGAAAUUAUUUAAGAUACCUGUCGUAUAGGGACCAAAAUAUUUCUCCUGGUUCAAAAAAUGUUAAAAAGGAUCUAGUAUGUUUUAGAAUGUCAAUGAUUUCAAUUAUUCCAUAAUGUUUAUCGUUGAACAUGUUACGAAUAAAAAUGUCUUUAUACGUGAAAAACAUAA
This is a long non-coding RNA of Megalopta genalis, 533 nucleotides long. RefSeq lists it as uncharacterized. Lineage: Eukaryota; Metazoa; Arthropoda; Insecta; Hymenoptera; Halictidae. The record is from RefSeq and is a predicted model, not a curated record.